AUGGUCAUUUGGCAUGACAUUUUGUUCACUGUAAACAUGGUGAGUAAGAAGUUGCAGUCUAAGUUUGUGUGCAUUGAUGUUACUCUUAAACAUAUUGAAGGUGCCAUCUCAUAUUUUAAGAAGUACAGGAAUGACGACUUUGCAAGUAGUCUGGAUAUUGCGAGAUCUAUUGCAAUUGACAUGGGUGUACAACCUUUGUUUCCUGUCAAGAGACGUAUUACUAGAAAAAGACAGUUUGAUGAAAUUAGUGGCAAUGACAAAAAUAACCAGAAUGAAGAAACGCAAGCAAUUAAAUACUUUUGGGUGAUGAUUGAUGUUGCAAUUGCUUCCCUAACUACUAGAUUUGAGGAACUGAAGACAUUUGGGAGCAUAUUUGGUUUCUUGUUCAACUCAAAAGAGUUGAAGUCCUUGGGUGAUAAUGGUCUAAGAAGAUGUUGCACUAAUUUUGUCAACAAAUUCACUCAUGGUAAGUCAGCAGAUGUCGAUCUAGAUGAUUUCGUUUCUGAACUAAAAGUACUGCAGAUGACAUUGCCAAACACAUUCAUGUCAGCAGAUCAGAUAUUUGAGUUUGUUAGAGAUGCGGAUUGUUAUCUAAAUGUCUCAAUUGCUUAUCGUAUCAUUUUGAGCGUACCUGUGACUGUUGCAUCAGCUGAAAGGAGUUUAUCAAAAUUGAAACUAUUGAAAAAUUAUUUGAGGUCAACGAUGUGUCAAGAAAGAUUGAAUGGAUUGGCCAUGUGCUGCAUUGAGAAGAAUAUGCUGGAUAGUAUUGAUCUUGACACUCUCAUUGAUGAUUUUGCGUCAAAAAAUGCACGAAAGUCUCGUUUCACAUGA
RNAcentral lists this ribosomal RNA (831 nucleotides) under Triticum aestivum (bread wheat). Its description in RNAcentral is "partial small subunit ribosomal RNA". The record is from RNAcentral. Lineage: Eukaryota; Viridiplantae; Streptophyta; Magnoliopsida; Poales; Poaceae.